UUCGGCAAUGGACGAAAGUCUGACCGAGCAACGCCGCGUGAGUGAAGAAGGUUUUCGGAUCGUAAAGCUCUGUUGUAAGUCAAGAACGUGUGUGAGAGUGGAAAGUUCACACAGUGACGGUAGCUUACCAGAAAGGGACGGCUAACUACGUGCCAGCAGCCGCGGUAAUACGUAGGUCCCGAGCGUUGUCCGGAUUUAUUGGGCGUAAAGGGAGCGCAGGCGGUCAGGAAAGUCUGGAGUAAAAGGCUAUGGCUCAACCAUAGUGUGCUCUGGAAACUGUCUGACUUGAGUGCAGAAGGGGAGAGUGGAAUUCCAUGUGUAGCGGUGAAAUGCGUAGAUAUAUGGAGGAACACCAGUGGCGAAAGCGGCUCUCUGGUCUGUCACUGACGCUGAGGCUCGAAAGCGUGGGUAGCGAACAGGAUUAGAUACCCUGGUAGUCCACGCCGUAAACGAUGAGUGCUAGGUGUUAGGCCUUUCCGGGGCUUAGUGCCGGAGCUAACGCAAUAAGCACUCCGCCUGGGGAGUACGACCGCAAGGUUGAAACUCAAAGGAAUUGACGGGGGCCCGCACAAGCGGUGGAGCAUGUGGUUUAAUUCGAAGCA
Molecule: ribosomal RNA, 602 nt
Filed under: Streptococcus mutans
Lineage: Bacteria; Bacillati; Bacillota; Bacilli; Lactobacillales; Streptococcaceae
Description: bacterial SSU rRNA
Rfam family: Bacterial small subunit ribosomal RNA
Source: RNAcentral